AUACGAGUGUUAAGACAUAAUUCUGAUAGGUUAGCAGUAUAUACUUGUUUACCUCACUUUUUUCCCCGCUCAAGAGUCAGAAAUAUUUGAAAUUGACAGUUUAAAAAGUGUCCUGAGAUAUUGUUGUGUAAGCAUCAUGGCUCACUACAAAGGAGCAGCGAGUGAAGCUGGCAGAGCAAUGCAGCUUAUGAAGAAAAGAGAAAAAGCUCAACAAGAAAUUGAAUUUCGGAAAAAGAAGAUUGAGGAAGAUUUGAAAAUAUCCAAUAUUGAAAAUAAAUUUGCUGCUCAUUAUGAUGCUGUUGAGCAGCAGCUUAAGAGUUCCACAAUUGGUUUGGUUACACUAAACGAGAUGAAGGCUAAGCAAGAAAAUAUUGUCAAAGAGCGAGAACGAAAACUGGCACAGAAACAACUAGAAAAAGAACAAGAGAAACAAAGACAACUGGAGGCUAAACAAGCAGAAAAAAACAGACAGAAGCAACAGAUUCAGUCCUUGUCCUUCAGUCUUGAGGAAGAAGAGGAAAAUGAUGAUGAUGAUUUAAGCCACACCAGUGACUCAGCCGAAGAGAAGUUUGAGCCUCCUGUGAAAAAGAAAAUCAGAAAAAAUCCUGAUGUUGAUACAAGUUUUUUGCCGGACCGUGAAAGAGAAGACGAGGAGAACCGAUUACGAGAAGAGCUCAGGCAGGAAUGGGCAGCCAAACAAUCAUCUCUGAAGGAGGAAGAAAUAGAAAUAACAUUCAGUUACUGGGAUGGCUCAGGUCAUAGGAGAACAGUACGGAUGAAAAAAGGAAAUUCUAUAUACCAGUUUCUACAGAGAUGCUUGGAGUUGCUUCGCAAGGAAUUCAGUGAGUUAAAGACGGUUACUGCUGAUCAACUGAUGUAUGUGAAAGAGGAUCUGAUUUUACCUCAUCACUACACAUUUUAUGAUUUCAUUGUUACAAAGGUAACAUCUAAGUGCCAUUAUAAGUGAUGUGAAUUCACUUAAGAGGGUAUAAGAAAAUUCAUAAAGAAUUUUGGAAACAGACAUCUGAUACACAAGGAUCAUCUCUCACGGGUCUCAUUAAUAUUCAGAGAGGGCCUGAUGGAAAAGUACUAUGAUCCAGCAUUAAGUAGGAGGCAGGCACGUGGUAAAAGUGGCCCUUUGUUUACAUUUGACGUGCACGAUGAUAUCAGACUAGUGAAUGAUGCAAGUGUCGAGAAGGAAGAAUCACAUGCAGGCAAGGUUUUGUUAAGGAGCUGGUACGAAAGAAACAAAC
RNAcentral lists this unclassified non-coding RNA (1253 nucleotides) under Schistocerca americana (American grasshopper). RNAcentral describes it as "protein FAM50 homolog, transcript variant X2". Lineage: Eukaryota; Metazoa; Arthropoda; Insecta; Orthoptera; Acrididae. The record is from RNAcentral.